Molecule: long non-coding RNA, 447 nt
Organism: Hevea brasiliensis (rubber tree)
Lineage: Eukaryota; Viridiplantae; Streptophyta; Magnoliopsida; Malpighiales; Euphorbiaceae
Exons: 3
Source: RefSeq, a predicted model, not a curated record
UGUCGCCGGCGACCGGCGGCCGGCCACCGUGCGCGGUGGUUCCGGCUGUGGCUCCUGUGGGCUAUGGAGAUGAUUCAACUUCCAGAGGCUUCCUCUUAAAUUUUUGAAAUUUUUGAGACACAGAUAAACUUCGGGUGAUCGAGGUCAGCUAUUUUUCUGCAUCCAGCAGCCACAAUAGUCAUCGGUGUACUGCCACAGGAGGAGUUAUUUUACAGAGCAACCUGUUUUCUUCCUCGCAGGUUUAACGUCGAUUAUUUAAUUAUUUUACUAUCUUUUCUAAAUUUAAAAUCUAGAACUCCGCAUGUGUUAGUAAUAAUGUGGGCCUUGUUAGAAAUUGUGUUAAUUUAAAUUUUUGAGAUUAAUAAAUAAAGAUUUGUAUGGUAUUUAAACAGUUUAUAAAUGAGGUAACAGGGUUGAGCUGGGCUCCCCUAAUUUUAGUUUUCUGAA